GACCCCGCACAAGCGGUGGAUCAUGUUGUUUAAUUCGAAGAUACGCGAAAAACCUUACCAGGUCUUGACAUCCCUUGCAAUGCUGUAGAGAUACAGUGGAGGUUAUCAAGGAGACAGGUGGUGCAUGGUUGUCGUCAGCUCGUGUCGUGAGAUGUUGGGUUAAGUCCCGCAACGAGCGCAACCCUUAUUGCUAGUUGCCAUCAUUUAGUUGGGGACUCUAGCGAGACUGCCAGUGAUAAACUGGAGGAAGGUGGGGAUGACGUCAAAUCAUCAUGCCCCUUAUGACCUGGGCUACAAACGUGAUACAAUGGCUAUUACAGAGGGCCGCAAAGCUGUGAAGUGAAGCAAAUCUCUUAAAGCUUGUCUCAGUUCGGAUAGGAGUCUGCAACUCGACUCCUUG
This 400-nucleotide ribosomal RNA is filed under the name uncultured bacterium. RNAcentral's name for it is "bacterial SSU rRNA". It matches the Rfam family "Bacterial small subunit ribosomal RNA", at positions 920 to 1322 of the family's 1533-position model. The record is from RNAcentral.